RNAcentral lists this unclassified non-coding RNA (732 nucleotides) under Hevea brasiliensis (rubber tree). Lineage: Eukaryota; Viridiplantae; Streptophyta; Magnoliopsida; Malpighiales; Euphorbiaceae. The record is from RNAcentral.
GAAUCAGUCACCACAUGGAACACGUGCCGCCACGGCUCAUCCGCAUUCCGGAUAGCCGAAUUGAUGACGACGGAGACGGCGAUGACGUUAUCGGAGAAGAUAGCGAAGUGAUAGAGGUCGGAGUCGUCGGGUGUGAGAUCGAGAGCAGCGUUGGGGUAGAGCUCGGGGUGGGCGAUGUGGUCCUCCAUCAGGCGCAUAGCGAGGCAGUGGAGGGACUUCGGCGUGGAUCCGGCGGCGAUGCGGGAGGAGACGGUGCCGAGCUUGCGGGCCCGGGAGAGCUGCUCGCGGGCGGCGAAGAUUGUGUCGCGGAGUUUCUGGAUCUUGAGCUGGGUGUCGAAUGACUCUUUAGAUUCGGAGAUGAUUUGCCGGGCGAGCUUGAUGCGGUCCUUGGCUUCCUUUUCGAGGGGGCGGAGGGCGUCUUCGUCGGGAAUGGGGGUGGCGAGGUGGGCGGCGGUGUCGGAGAGGGAGGCGGCGAGGGUUUCGAAGACGUGGAGCUGGUGGGAGGAGGAGAGCUUGAGGCGGCGGGCGUAGGCGGCGUAGGCGUGGACGAGGGCGAGAUGAUCGGAGGCUUGGUGGUAGAUGAGGUCGAGGCGGGUGCGGAGGGGGGAGGAGUUAAGAGCGAGGAAGGUACGGCGGAGGGCGAGGGCGGGGGCGGGGGAAGAUCCGCCGGAGGCGGCGGAGGUGAGAAGGACGGUGAGGAGGGCGAGGAGGAGGAGGGCGGUGACGGUUGAG